RNAcentral lists this long non-coding RNA (490 nucleotides) under Ananas comosus (pineapple). RNAcentral's name for it is "long non-coding RNA (ACOM_LNC022103)". Lineage: Eukaryota; Viridiplantae; Streptophyta; Magnoliopsida; Poales; Bromeliaceae. The record is from RNAcentral.
AAGGAAAGGGGAUUCAUUAGAGUUUAUAGAUGAUUAUAUAAUGAAGUACUUUGUUUUCUUCUUUAGUAAUAACUAUGUAAUGAAAUUUCAAUUGUAUGACUUGAUUUCAUAAGAUUCUUGUGUUUAUUCAUAUCUAAGAGUAGUCAUUAACCAAAUCUAUCUAUUACAAUUGAAAAUAGGGCAGAAAGUUUCUCUUCCAUAAACAGUUCUAUUAAAAAUCCAAAUAAUUAGUAGUUAAUUGGUUGAUUCUAAGUGAGGUUGUGAUUUAUAUAUAAUUGUGGAAAUAGUACUUUUAAGUUGCUCUGUUAUUUCAACUCAAUAUGAAAAGAUUAAAGGGAACUUCUAAUACCCACAAUGCAUUGCCAGUUUUUCACUUUAGUAUCUUAUGAUUUUAACUAUAUCAUUUAAUUAGUAUUCUGUGUUUUUUAUUUUUAUUUUUUAUUACACCCUCCAUUAACUUCUCCUUUAAACUAAUCAACCUGCAAAGGCC